GAAUGUUAGGGCUAUCUGGCUGCAAAAACUGUCACCCCAUUGAUUGCCAGGGUUGAUUCGGGCUGUACUGGCUGUCUAGGCAGGUGUCUCCUUCCUCCCUCAACACUCCACAUGUGCCCCUCCCCCACAAGGUGCGUCCAGUUGAAAAGGAUGACCUUCUCCAAUAGAGGAGGACCAGUCUUCAGUCAAGGGUAUAUGAGUAGCUGUGCUCCCCUGUUAGAACCUCCAAACAAGCUCUCAAGAAUGGAAAAAAUCUUUACCAGCUAUAUAUCUGACAGAGGAUUAGUGUCUAGAAUAUACAAAUAAUAUACAAAUAACUUUUUUUUUU
This 328-nucleotide small nuclear RNA is filed under the name Nannospalax galili (Upper Galilee mountains blind mole rat). Its description in RNAcentral is "7SK RNA (ENSNGAG00000005208.1)". It matches the Rfam family "7SK RNA". Rfam says of the family: 7SK was discovered as an abundant small nuclear RNA in the mid-70s but a possible function has only recently been suggested. Two independent studies have found that 7SK RNA binds the CDK9/cyclin T complex (known as elongation factor P-TEFb). Lineage: Eukaryota; Metazoa; Chordata; Mammalia; Rodentia; Spalacidae. The record is from Rfam by way of RNAcentral.